Molecule: microRNA, 23 nt
Filed under: Macaca mulatta (Rhesus monkey)
Lineage: Eukaryota; Metazoa; Chordata; Mammalia; Primates; Cercopithecidae
Description: Mml-Mir-576_5p (mature (guide))
Source: RNAcentral
AUUCUAAUUUCUCCACAUCUUUG